AAAAAAAACUGUGUUGGUCUGAGAUUAAAUACCUACAGUAGCCCUUGUGUUUCUUCGUGUAUCCAUACUUUUGGUUGUUUACUAUUUUUUGUUUCUUCAUUUGUCCUCAAUUUCGGAUGUUUUGGGCUUCUUUGCAUAUCAACAGUUGAACAGGUCAUUACUUUUUCUGUAGUUUUGUUCCCAGAGGAAGAUGACUGUGAGGCAGUAGUUUCACGCAUGUGGCUCAAAGGGGGACUUUGCUACUGGUUUACCACACAGCAUCACCAGUUUGCAAGGAACUUGUUCACCACCUGAAGACACCUGGGAGGCUGUCCCUUAUAAGCUCAUCAAGCAUGCAGGUGAAUUUGAAAACAUAAUAACAAUUUGAAACUUGGAAUGAAAAUAUGUUUUGCAGGGUAAAUGCUUACAAAACCUUAACGUGAGAGACCGGAAGUGUGUAUCGCCAGGAGUGAAAAUCGUUCCAGCGUGGGCCCCUACCACCCCAAGGACGCACAUCUACACAACAACACCCUGUGGAUUGCAGCCCUGGAGGAUGGAGCAAGCACAGUACUCCAAGACACCAGAGAGGUACUCCACGCCACCAUGUAGAGAACUGCUACAUAGGGCAAGAAGGCAGAGGUUGAGGGAAGUUUUAGCUCUGCACAUGAAGAAAAUUUGGAGAACAUCAAGCGGCUGACUGAAGAGAAGGUUGAGCUGAGGGCACAGCUGUCUCUACAAUCAGCUUCUGAUGAACGUCUGACUGAAGAGAAUGUCAAGCCAAGGGCAUAGCUGGCUCUACAAUUAGGAGCCAUAAGGAAGAAUCCUUCCAACCAGGAGGCCAAUGACAAGGCUGUCCAGAACCAGGUCCCCAGGUAACAGAAAGGGGCAGCUGACGUGCAUGUGGGAAAAAAACAAGGGACCUGCCAUGAAUAUGAAUGACAUUUCCAGCACAACCAAUAUUGCUGCUAAUCUACAGUACUCUUUAUUUAGUAAUUUUUUUUUAACUGCUGCUAUGUACAGCGUUAUGUAUAUGAUCGCAUUAUUCUCUUAAUAUUUAAAGCUGUGUGUGAAUGUUCUUGAUUCUGACUGUAGUUGUAGUGUUAUGCCACCAUUCAUUAGCUUAUUGCACUAAUGCAUCAAUAAUAUUCAAUAACUAUCGAUUGCUUCUAGGUCUCACUUAUGUAUAUUACUGCCGUUCUAGCCCUUGUUUAUUUUGUAUUGUAUUAUAUUUACUAUUAUGUUUACUUUUUCACAUUCAAAUAUCUGUUGCUGGACACUAUUCUUGCACUAUUAGAUUUAAAAAGAA
This is a long non-coding RNA of Esox lucius (northern pike), 1285 nucleotides long. The record is from Ensembl. NCBI's taxonomy places the organism in Eukaryota, Metazoa, Chordata, Actinopteri, Esociformes, Esocidae.